RNAcentral lists this ribosomal RNA (396 nucleotides) under uncultured bacterium. Its description in RNAcentral is "bacterial SSU rRNA". It matches the Rfam family "Bacterial small subunit ribosomal RNA", at positions 505 to 898 of the family's 1533-position model. The record is from RNAcentral.
GUGUCAGCAGCCGCGGUAAUACGUAGGGCGCAAGCGUUGUCCGGAAUUAUUGGGCGUAAAGAGCUCGUAGGCGAUUUGUCACAUCUACUGUGAAAUCCCAACGCUUAACGUUGGGCGUGCAGUGGGUACGGGCAGACUAGAGUGCGGUAGGGGAGAUUGGAAUUCCUGGUGUAGCGGUGGAAUGCGCAGAUAUCAGGAGGAACACCGAUGGCGAAGGCAGAUCUCUGGGCCGUAACUGACGCUGAGGAGCGAAAGCAUGGGGAACGAACAGGAUUAGAUACCCUGGUAGUCCAUGCCGUAAACGUUGGGAACUAGAUGUAGGGUCCAUUCCACGGAUUCUGUGUCGCAGCUAACGCAUUAAGUUCCCCGCCUGGGGAGUACGGCCGCAAGGCUAAA